This 1252-nucleotide ribosomal RNA is filed under the name Candidatus Phytoplasma phoenicium. RNAcentral describes it as "bacterial SSU rRNA". It matches the Rfam family "Bacterial small subunit ribosomal RNA", at positions 152 to 1400 of the family's 1533-position model. Lineage: Bacteria; Bacillati; Mycoplasmatota; Mollicutes; Acholeplasmatales; Acholeplasmataceae. The record is from RNAcentral.
GAAAACGACUGCUAAGACUGGAUAGGAAAUUAAGAGGCAUCUUUUAAUUUUUAAAAGACCUUUUUCGAAAGGUAUGCUUAAAGAGGGGCUCGCGCCACAUUAGUUAGUUGGUAAGGUAAAGGCUUACCAAGACGAUGAUGUGUAGCUGGACUGAGAGGUUGAACAGCCACAUUGGGACUGAGACACGGCCCAAACUCCUACGGGAGGCAGCAGUAAGGAAUUUUUGGCAAUGGAGGAAACUCUGACCGAGCGACGCCGCGUGAACAAUGAAGUACUUCGGUAUGUAAAGUUCUUUUAUUGAAAAAGAAAAAAUAGUGGAAAAACUAUCUUGACAUUAUUCAAUGAAUAAGCCCCGGCUAAUUAUGUGCCAGCAGCCGCGGUAAUACAUAAGGGGCGAGCGUUAUCCGGAAUUAUUGGGCGUAAAGGGUGCGUAGGCGGUUUGAUAAGUCUAUAGUUUAAAUGCAGCGCUUAACGCUGUAGCGCUAUAGAAACUGUCUGACUAGAGUUAGAUAGAGGCAAGCGGAAUUCCAUGUGUAGCGGUAAAAUGCGUAAAUAUAUGGAGGAACACCAGAGGCGUAGGCGGCUUGCUGGGUCUUAACUGACGCUGAGGCACGAAAGCGUGGGGAGCAAACAGGAUUAGAUACCCUGGUAGUCCACGCCGUAAACGAUGAGUACUAAGUGUCGGGUUUCGGCUCGGUACUGAAGUUAACACAUUAAGUACUCCGCCUGAGUAGUACGUACGCAAGUAUGAAACUUAAAGGAAUUGACGGGACCCCGCACAAGCGGUGGAUCAUGUUGUUUAAUUCGAAGAUACACGAAAAACCUUACCAGGUCUUGACAUAAUUUUGCGACAUUAUCGAAAUAUAAUGAAGGUUAUCAGAAUUACAGGUGGUGCAUGGUUGUCGUCAGCUCGUGUCGUGAGAUGUUAGGUUAAGUCCUAAAACGAGCGCAACCCUUGUCGUUAGUUGCGACCACGUAAUGGUGAGCACUUUAGCGAGACUGCCAAUGAAAAAUUGGAGGAAGGUGAGGAUUACGUCAAAUCAUCAUGCCCCUUAUGAUCUGGGCUACAAACGUGAUACAAUGGCUGUUACAAAGAGUAGCUACAACGUGAGUUUUUAGCCAAUCUCAAAAAAACAGUCUCAGUUCGGAUUGAAGUCUGCAACUCGACUUCAUGAAGUUGGAAUCGCUAGUAAUCGCGAAUCAGCAUGUCGCGGUGAAUACGUUCACGGGGUUUGUACACACCGCCCGUCAA